Molecule: ribosomal RNA, 253 nt
Filed under: uncultured bacterium
Lineage: Bacteria
Description: partial 16S ribosomal RNA
Rfam family: Bacterial small subunit ribosomal RNA
Source: RNAcentral
UACGUAGGGGGCUAGCGUUGUCCGGAAUCAUUGGGCGUAAAGCGCGUGUAGGCGGUUCGGUAAGUCCGCUGUGAAAGUCGGGGGCUCAACCCUCGGAAGCCGGUGGAUACUGUCGGGCUAGAGUACGGAAGAGGCGAGUGGAAUUCCUGGUGUAGCGGUGAAAUGCGCAGAUAUCAGGAGGAACACCAAUUGCGAAGGCAGCUCGCUGGGACGUUACUGACGCUGAGAAGCGAAAGCGUGGGGAGCAAACAGG